CGAGUUGGUUAGACAAUCGCUGGUUUAUUGAAGCCCUUAACCGUGUUCGCACGACCUAGUGGGACAAGUAAACGAGAGGAAAGUCCGAGCUACACAGGGCAGAGUGCCAGAUAACGUCUGGGCGGCGUGAGCCGACGACCAGUGCAACAGAGAGCAGACCGCCGCGUAAGCGGUAAGGGUGAAAGGGUGCGGUAAGAGCGCACCGCGUGAGUGGUAACAUUUCACGGCAGGGUAAACUCCACUCGUAGCAAGACCAAAUAGGAACUCAAUGGAUGGCCCGUCCAGAGUUCGGGUAGGUUGCUUGAGCACAAUAGCGAUGUUGUGCCUAGAGGAAUGAUUGUCCACGACAGAACUCGGCUUAUCGACCAACUCACUAG
Molecule: RNase P RNA, 377 nt
Filed under: Pseudohaemophilus sputorum
Lineage: Bacteria; Pseudomonadati; Pseudomonadota; Gammaproteobacteria; Pasteurellales; Pasteurellaceae
Description: Haemophilus sputorum RNase P RNA component class A
Rfam family: Bacterial RNase P class A
About the family: Ribonuclease P (RNase P) is a ubiquitous endoribonuclease, found in archaea, bacteria and eukarya as well as chloroplasts and mitochondria. Its best characterised activity is the generation of mature 5'-ends of tRNAs by cleaving the 5'-leader elements of precursor-tRNAs. Cellular RNase Ps are ribonucleoproteins.
Source: RNAcentral